UCACCUGAUGCGGAAGUUAAAAGCGGCUGACGCGACGCUGAUCAUAACGUUUGUUAAAGCAUUUCUAAUAUCGCACCUUAUCAGAUGGGAAGAGUCAUCCAUCGCUCACUUCGGUGGUCCGUCACUCCCUAUAUCCUCCCAAAGCCCUCAGCUUUCUCUUCUUGUUCAAACGGUCCUCUCCAGUCAGUGGGAGAAACCAUCCCUUUACUGUGUGUCGACAUUAGGAUGGGAAGAGGAAAAGCUGACAAAUGGAUACAGUUUAGCUGAGAAACCUUUCAAAGGUACAUAUGAUUUCUGUCCUCAUUUAAUAUUAAAUGUACAGGCCCAGAGUUACUGUAUUUGAAGGGCUGCUAUAAGAAAGAGGAUGCAUACAGUAAAUUGUUAUUAUAGCUUGGGGUGUAUUACUAUUUCACCAGGAGGUGGCAAUAUACAUUUGACAGUACAAUGUACAGUCAGUGCCAAUAGAAAGUACACCCCCUUGAACUUGUGGGAUUGAAAUAGAUUUAAUUGUACUUUUUUUUUACAUUGAUCUACACAAAAUACUCUGUCAAAGUGAAAAUAUAUAUGUAUGUGUAUAUAUAUUUACAAAUUAAUAUCAAUUAAAUAACUAAAAUAUAGUCGUUACAUAAGUAUUUGCCCCAUUUGUUUAGGUAAGCCUAAAUUAUUUCAGAAGUAAAUUUGGCUUAACAAAUCACAUAAUACGUUAUAAUGUCUCACCAGGUAUGUGCCUGGUUUGGACGCCAGGUGACGGCUGUCACACCGUGAUCUUUUUCACCUGUCUUGUGCUUGUCUCCACCCCCUACCAAGUGUCUCCUAUUCUUCCCCAGUAUCCCCUGUGUAUUUAUACCUGCGUUUUCUGUUUCUCUUGCCAGUUCGUCUUGUUUUGUCAGGUCUUACCAGUGUCUUUCCUGUUUUUCAAGUUCUUGUUUUCUAGUCUUCCCGGGUUCUGACCUUUCUGUCUGUCCUGACCCUGCCUGCCGUUCUGUCCAUGAUUGACUCUGCCUUGGAUUACGAACCUCUACCUACCCUUUGCCUACCCCUUUGUUAUAAUACAUAUUAUGAGAACCAAACUAUCUGCCUCCUGUGUCUGCAUUUGGGUCAUAUCCUGAGUCGUGAUAGUGGUUCAUUAUUUUGACCUUCCUAUCUACCAUAUACUCCAUCUAAACGUGAAUCAAUUCCCAGUUGUGGUACGGUUAAAAUACUUCUCCUGGACAUUAUCAUUCACUUUGAUAAGACAAGACGUGAAAGAAAUGCUAUUUUGCUAAUGUAUGAAAGGUUCCCUGGGCAAGAAAAGGUUGAAGACCCCUGCUAUAGAAAGAGAGGACGAAUGCCAAUCCAAUCACAGCACAGGAACUGGACAGAAAUAUACACUAUAUAUACACAAGUAUGUGGACACCCCUUCGGCUAUUUCAGCCACACCGUUCCUAAGAGUUAUAUAAAAUCAAGCACACAGCCAUGCAAUCUCCAUAGACAAACAUUGGCAGUAGAAUGGUCUUACUGAAGAGCUCAGUGACUUUCAACGUAGCACCUUUCCAACAAAUCAGUUAAUCAAAUGUCUGCCCUGCUAGAGCUGCCCCGGUCAACUGUAAGUGCUGUUAUUGUGAAGUGGAAUGGUCUAGGAGCAACACUAGCUCAGCCGCGAAGUGGUAGGCAACACAAACUCAUAGAACGAAUGCUGCAGCGCGUACCGAGUAAUAAUCCUCUGUCUUAGAUUGCAACACUCACUACCGACUUCCAAACUGCCUCUGGAAGUAACGUCAGCAAAAUUACUGUUCGGUGAGAGCUCCAUGAAAUGGGUUUCCAUGGCCGAGCAGCCAGACACAAGCCUAAGAUCCCCAUGCGCAAUGCCAAGCAUCGCCUGGAGUGGUGUAAAGCUUACCGCCAUUGGACUCUGGAGCAGUGGAAACGCGUUCUCUGGAGUGAUGAAUCAUGCUUCAAAAUCUGUCAGUCCGUCCCCAGAUGGUGAAGCGUGAUACUUCCAGGGAACGCGUUUACAUCUGGGAAUCUGGGUUUGGCGGAUGCCAGGAGAACGCUACCUUCCCCAAUGCAUAGUGCCAAAUGUAAAGUUUGGUGGAGGAGGAAUAAUGGUCUGGGUCUGUUUUUCAUGGAUCGGGCUAGGCCCCUUAGUUCCAGUGAAGAGAAAUCUUAAUACUACAGCAUACAAUGACAUUCUAGACAAUUCUGUGCUUCCAACUUUGUGGCAACAGUUUGGGGAAGCCCCUUUCCUGUUUCAGCGCGAUAGCCAGGCCUAAUUGCCCAACAUCAAUGCCCGGCCUCACUAAUGCUCUUGUGGCUGAAUGGAAGCAUGUCCCCACAGUAAUGUUCCCAGAAGAGUGGAGGCUGUUAUAGCAGCAAAGGGGGAACCACCUCAUAUUAAGCACAUGAUUUUGGAAUGAGAUGUUUGACGAGCAGGUGUCCACAUACUUUUGGUCAUGUAAUAUACCAUUCUAGUCAAAAGUUUGGACACACCUACUCAUUCAAAGGUUUUUCUUAAUUUUUACUUUUCUGAAAAUUAACCAAAAAGGUGUUAAACAAACCAAAAUAUAUUCUAUAUAUUUUAUUUUUCAAUAUAGCCACCCUUUGCCUUAAACAGCUUUGCACACUCUUGGGAUUCUCUCAACCAGCUUCAUGAGGUAGUCACCUAGAAUGCAUUUCAAUUAGCAGGUGUCCCUUGUUAAAAGUACAUUUUGGGGAAUUUAUUUACUUCGUAAUGCGUUUGAGCCAAUCAGUUGUGUUUAAACAAGGUAGGGUUAGUAUACAGAAGAUAGCCCUAUUUGGUAAAAGACCAAGUCCAUAUUAUGGCAAGAACAACUCAAAUAAGCAAAGAGAAACGAUGGUCCAUCAUUACUUUAAGACAUGAAGCUCAGUCAAUCCAGAAAAUUUUAAGAACUUUGAUAGUUUCUUCAAUUGCAGUCGCAAAAGCCAUCAAGCGCUAUGAUGAAACUGGCUCUCAUGAGGACCGACACUUAAGGAAGACCCAGAGUUACAUCUGCUGCAAAGGAUAAGUUCAUUAGAGUUACCCGCCUCAGAAAUUGCGGCCCAAAUAAAUGCCUCACAGAGUUCAAGUACAGACACAUCUCAACAUCAACUGUUCAGAGGAGACUGCGAGAAUCAGGCCUUUAUGGUAGAAAUGCUGCAAUGAAACCACUACUAAAGGACACCAAUAAUAAGAAGAGACUUGCUUGGGCCAAGACCAGCAAUGGACAUUCGACCAGGUGGAAAUCUGUCUUUUGGUCUGAUGAGACCAAAUUUGAGAUUUUUGUUUCCAACCAGUGUCUGUGUGAGACAUAGUAGGUGAACGGAUGAUCUUUUCAUGUGUGGUUCCCACCAUGAAGCAUGGCGGUGGAGGUGUGAUGGAGUGGGAGUGCAUUGCUGGUGACACUGUCUGUGAUUUAUUUACAAUUCAAGGCACACUUAACCAGCAUGGCUACCACAGCAUUCUGCAGCAAUACGCCAUCCUAUCUGGUUUGCGCUUAGUGGGACUAUCAUUUGUUUUUCAGCAGGACAAUGACCCAAAACACACCUCCAGGCUGUGUAAGGGCUAUUUGACCAUGCAGGAGAGUGAUGGAGAACUGCAUCAGAUGACCUGGCCUCCACAAUCAACACGACCUCAACCCAAUUGCGGUCCAACUCAACCCAAACAAUCUCAGAGUGAAGGAAAACUACUAGUGAAGAAUCUCAAAAUUAAAAUAUAUUUUGAUUUGUUUAACACUUUUGAUUACUACAUGAUUCGAUAUGUGUUAUUUCAUAGUUUUGAUGUCUUAUUCUACAAUAACUGGUACUGUUUAUAUUGAAUGAGAAUAUAAAUGUAACAAUUGCAACAAUUUUACUGAGUUACUGUUCAUAUAAGGAAAUCAGUGAAUUUAAAUAAAUUCAUUAGGCCCUAAUUUAUGGAUUUCACAUGACUGGGCAGGGGUGCCCACUGGGGAGCUGGGCUGGGCCAAUCAGAAUAUUGUUUUUGCAAAAAAAUGGCUUUAUUACAGACAUAAAUACUCUUCAGUUUCAUCAGCUGUCCAGGUGGCUGGUCUCAUGAUCCUGCAGGUGAAGAAGCCAGAUGUGGAGGUCCUGGGCUGGCAUGGUUACACAUGGUCUGCGGUUGUGAGGCCGGUUGGCCGUACUGCCAAAUUCUCUAAAAUGGCGUAGAGAAAUGAACAUGAAUUAAUCUGGAAACAGCUCUGGUGGACAUUCCUGCAGUCAGCAUGCCAAUUACAUGCUCCCUCAAAACGUGAGACAUCUGUGGCAUUAUGUUUUGUGGGGGGAAAAACACACAUUUUAAAGUGGCCUUUUAUUGUCCACAGCACAAGGUGCACCUGUGUAAUCAUACUUAUUUUCAAUCAGCUUCUUGAUAUGCCACACUUGUCAGGUGGAUUGAUUAUCUUGGCAAUGGAGAAAUGCUCACUAACAGGGAUGUAAAUAAGCUUUUUGUGCAACAUUUCUGGUAUCUUUUAUGAAAACUCAUGAAACAUGGGACCAAUACUUUACAUGAUGCGUUUUAUAUUUUUGAAUGUUCCACAGGUAUGUUGGUCCAUGCUGAUGUAAUGACAUCAUGCAGUUUCUGCAGUUCGGAUGGCGGGACACUACCGCCACCAGCCUGUACCGUUGACACCAGGCUGGAUGGGUCCCUGGACUCAUGCUGCUUUAUGCCAAAUCUUGACUCUGCCAUCAGCAUGACGCAACAGGAACUGGGAUUCCUUGGACCAGGCAAUGUUUUCCCACUCCUCAAUUGUGCAGUAAUAGUGAACGCUUGCCUUUCUCUUCAUUUUAGCUGAUAGGAGUUGAACCUGGUGUAGUCGUCUGCUAUAAUAGCCCAUCCGUGACAAGUAUCAACAAGUUGUCUGUUCCGAGAUGUCCUUCUGCACACUACUGUUGUAUUGCGUCGUUAUCUGUCUGGUUGUGGCCCACCUGUUAGCUUGCAUGAUUCUGGCCAUUCUCCUUCGACCUCUCUCAUCAACGAGCUGUUUUCACCCACAGGACUGCCGCUGACUGGAUGUUUUUUGUUUGAACGCACCGUUCUCGGGAAACCCUAGACACUGUCGUGAGUGAAAAACCCAGGGGGUCGGCCGUUUCUGAGAUACUGGAAUCGACGAUCAUAUCAUGCUCAAAGUCGCUUAGGUCAUUAGUUUUGCCCAACGUUCAAUCGAACAGUAACUGAAUGCCUCGAUGUCUGUCUGCCUGCUUUAUAUAGCAAGCUAUAGCCACGUGACUCAUUGUAUAGUAGGAGCGAUCCAUUUUGUGAACGGGGUGGUAUACCUAAUAAACUAACCAGUGAGUGUAUAUAUUAAUGAAAAUACUGUCAGGUCACAGCUCGCUGCUCUUAAAGCUAGAAUCUGCAUUUGAAACAAUAACAAAGUGGACACCCCACCUCUGUUUUGGUAAAAAAAAAAGCUUAUGGAUGGGCCAAGAGAAAAUGUCUCUACGGCCAUCCCUAAGCUUUUUACCAAAACAUUUUGUUAUUGUGGGGUGUAAUGUUAGGGUUUAUGUUUAUGCACAAUAGCCUGCUAGCAUAUUGUUUGAAGAUGAAUAUUGUUUUGUUACACACACACACACACACAAACAAUACAGAUGUGUGUGUGUGUGUGUGUGUAGGUGUGUAAGGACUGACCAACACAGGCCAUAAAAGCUGUGGUCAAUCUGGAGAGGGGAGGGGUGCAUCUCUCUAGGCCAACCAGGGAGGUUAGAGUACUGAUCAAUACCCUAUUAGGAACUGUUUGAGUGUAGAAUCGACGGGAAGACACAAGACGGAUCUAAUCUACCCAACAACCAGAUGUGGACAGAGGAGAGCACUAAGGGACUUGGACAAGUUCGAGUGCCAGCAAAGGCGGAGCAAAAGUUUAAACCGCGCUCAGCCUCUACUAUGAUAGGCCAACGGACGAGUUGGAACUAAAGCUGUCAUAGGUAAAGAACUGCUAUAUGAGUACAUUCCACAGUUCCCUGUUUUAUCCUGGGUUAUGAUACAUUGAGCCCGUAUAUACAAAAAUUGCAUUUACCAUUUAUCGCUUGAGUUUAAUUAAAAUACUUAAAAUAUA
Long non-coding RNA from Salvelinus fontinalis (brook trout), 6026 nucleotides. RefSeq lists it as uncharacterized. The record is from RefSeq and is a predicted model, not a curated record. Lineage: Eukaryota; Metazoa; Chordata; Actinopteri; Salmoniformes; Salmonidae. The transcript has 2 exons.